GAUGAACGCUGGCGGCGUGCUUAACACAUGCAAGUCGAACGGAAAGGCUCCUGCUUGCAGGGGUACUCGAGUGGCGAACGGGUGAGUAACACGUGGGUGAUCUGCCCUGCACUUCGGGAUAAGCCUGGGAAACUGGGUCUAAUACCGGAUAGGACGAUGGUUUGGAUGCCAUUGUGGAAAGUUUUUCGGUGUGGGAUGAGCUCGCGGCCUAUCAGCUUGUUGGUGGGGUAAUGGCCUACCAAGGCGUCGACGGGUAGCCGGCCUGAGAGGGUGUACGGCCACAUUGGGACUGAGAUACGGACCAGACUCCUACGGGAGGCAGCAGUGGGGAAUAUUGCACAAUGGGCGCAAGCCUGAUGCAGCGACGCCGCGUGGGGGAUGACGGCCUUCGGGUUGUAAACUCCUUUCGCUAGGGACGAAGCGCAAGUGACGGUACCUGGAGAAGAAGCACCGGUUAACUACGUG
This 465-nucleotide ribosomal RNA is filed under the name uncultured bacterium. Its description in RNAcentral is "partial 16S ribosomal RNA". It matches the Rfam family "Bacterial small subunit ribosomal RNA", at positions 28 to 507 of the family's 1533-position model. The record is from RNAcentral.